This 661-nucleotide ribosomal RNA is filed under the name uncultured bacterium. RNAcentral's name for it is "bacterial SSU rRNA". It matches the Rfam family "Bacterial small subunit ribosomal RNA", at positions 94 to 788 of the family's 1533-position model. The record is from RNAcentral.
AGUGGCGGACGGGUGAGUAACGCGCGAGAAUCUGCCUUCAGGUCGGGGACAACAGAGGGAAACUUCUGCUAAUCCCGGAUGAGCCUUAGGGUAAAAAAUUUAUUGCCUGGAGAUGAGCUCGCGUCUGAUUAGCUAGUUGGUAAGGUAAAAGCUUACCAAGGCAACGAUCAGUAGCUGGUCUGAGAGGAUGAGCAGCCACACUGGGACUGAGACACGGCCCAGACUCCUACGGGAGGCAGCAGUGGGGAAUUUUCCGCAAUGGGCGAAAGCCUGACGGAGCAAGACCGCGUGGGGGAGGAAGGCUCUAGGGUUGUAAACCCCUUUUCUUUGGGAAGAACAAAAUGACGGUACCAAAGGAAUCAGCCUCGGCUAACUCCGUGCCAGCAGCCGCGGUAAUACGGAGGAGGCAAGCGUUAUCCGGAAUGAUUGGGCGUAAAGCGUCCGCAGGUGGCAAUGUAAGUCUGCUGUCAAAACCCAGGGCUCAACUCUGGUCAGGCAGUGGAAACUACAUAGCUAGAGUUCGGUAGGGGCAAAGGGAAUUCCCGGUGUAGCGGUGAAAUGCGUAGAGAUCGGGAAGAACAUCGGUGGCGAAAGCGCUUUGCUAGGCCGAAACUGACACUCAGGGACGAAAGCUAGGGGAGCGAAUGGGAUUAGAUACCCC